This is a non-coding RNA of Ictidomys tridecemlineatus (thirteen-lined ground squirrel), 954 nucleotides long. The record is from RefSeq and is a predicted model, not a curated record. NCBI's taxonomy places the organism in Eukaryota, Metazoa, Chordata, Mammalia, Rodentia, Sciuridae.
AGAGUCGUGGAGCGCGCGGGUAGACAGAGCGUCGGAGUAUCGCGAGCGCGCCCCCUGGCGCCAGUCCUCCACGGCGCGAGCUGCUGCGCAGGCGCGGGGCAACUCCAGCUGUCAAUCCGCAGCACUCAGGUUUCGCUUUCCUCCUGCUUGGUUGUGCCUUCUGGAAAUUCCUUACACCAUAUUUCGGAACUGUCUAAGGGAGUCAACCCAAGCAUGGAACUUUUCUUUGAAAUUGCUGCCAACUACACUAGCCUGUUCUCUGUCAAGUCAUGGGAAAGCUAUUUUGAACUCCCUGUUUAACUGGACGCAAACGACUAUAGAAUGUGACUGAAACGUUCCAAGAGCUCAAAUGAGACCAUAUGGGAAGAUGCUUUGCAAAAUAGGAAGUACUGUACGGAUGGAAGCAAUUGCAUAUUUUAACCAGGAGAGUUACCUGAUAUUGGUUUAACAACCACAAUGCUCCGGUUUCCUGAAGUGCUGCUAAUUUUUAAAUAUUAGGUUCAAGUGUUCUAUGAGUAAAUAAAGGUAGCCCUGUGCUGUCCUGAGGAUACCCAAAUAUCCCUUUGGAAAAGGCUCCUGUGAUGAGGAACUGAGCCCUCCUGCCAAUAGCCAGAGGAUUGCUAAAGCCCUAUAAGUGUGCCCUUUUGGAAGGCCAUCUUUUGGCUCCAAUCAAGCCUUCAAAUGACUGCAGCAGCUGCUGAUAUUGUAAUUGCUACUUCAUGAGACAUCCUCAGCUAGAAUCACCAGCUAAGCUGCUUCUGAGUUCCUGACCUACAAAAGGUGCGAGAGACCAGACAUUGAAGAUACAUUGAAGAACUUAUAGAUGUCUGUCUGGGAAAAAUAUACCCACAGAAGUUAAUGUCCUGCAAGAUGCUAACCAGUUUGGUGUCUAUUGAGCAGGUGAAUUCAUUUCAGCAUUUCUUUGACAUUGAAUAAAAUCUCCAUUUCUUAAAU